Sardina pilchardus (European sardine) is the source of this 639-nucleotide long non-coding RNA. RefSeq lists it as uncharacterized. The transcript has 3 exons. Lineage: Eukaryota; Metazoa; Chordata; Actinopteri; Clupeiformes; Clupeidae. The record is from RefSeq and is a predicted model, not a curated record.
AGGCAAUCAAUCUGAAUUUUUUCGAGAAGGCAGACAUCUUUGUAAGCUGAGCAGAUACUAAGUUGAGAAGACCACAACAGCAUUGUCAAUGGUGCAGACAUCACAGCAGCAGUAGCGAUGGAGGGGCUUCCUGUUUUCCUCAAGGAGGAGUGCUCCUGUCUCUUCAGGAAAUGCAUGGGCACAGAUGCUGUGGAGGAUUACAUGGAAGACGGAAGACGACCUCACCAUGACUAUCACCAAUAUUGCCAUCAUACUCCAAGAGACUGCUGCUCUACAAGACAUUAAGGAUAUUCCAGCUGCACACAUACAUGUGUAUGUGUGUGCGCGUGCGUGCGUGUGUGUGUGUGCGAGUGCUUGUGUGUAUGGAUGCGCUCUGAGUGGUAUGCUCAGUGUGUGUGUUCUGACUGUCAUGCUCAGUGUUUGUGGUUGUACUGGAUGCCUCUGACAUGAUAUUGCACAGACUGUUGGCUUGUAGUCAGCCUGUUAGCACACACACACACACACACACACACACACACACACACACACACACACACACACACACACACACACACACACACAGUUUAUCUACACUUGUUUAACAGACUUGGUUGACUGGGUUUUUGGAGAAAAUUAAAUAAAAAAACGUUGUUUGAUCAA